This 75-nucleotide non-coding RNA is filed under the name chicken gut metagenome. RNAcentral's name for it is "Cyclic di-GMP-I riboswitch". It matches the Rfam family "c-di-GMP-I riboswitch aptamer", at positions 7 to 83 of the family's 87-position model. From Rfam's summary of the family: GEMM was predicted in a large-scale screen for bacterial structured RNA regulatory elements. Genes associated with GEMM are involved in a diverse array of functions, including chemotaxis regulation, signal transduction, secretion and chitin. The record is from RNAcentral.
AUAGGGCAAACCCGGUGAAAACCGGCGACGCAAAGCGAAAGGGCCUGAUCUUUAGGAGAAAUGGCAGCCAGUUGC